Molecule: ribosomal RNA, 396 nt
Filed under: Triticum aestivum (bread wheat)
Lineage: Eukaryota; Viridiplantae; Streptophyta; Magnoliopsida; Poales; Poaceae
Description: partial small subunit ribosomal RNA
Source: RNAcentral
GUAAGAUAAUUUGGAUAAGUUGCCGAGGGAAGCUGGAAUUUUACCUGUCAACUGAUUGGUUCCAAGAUGCAAACGUGAGAGUUCCUGUAUAAGACCUAAUUCGGGCGGAAUCUCCCCUGUGAGGUUGUUGUAGGGCAUGUCUAUUGUAGAAAGACUGGUGAGAUUGCUUAGACCAGUUGGGAUUGAGCCAAUAAGCUGAUUAGAACCCAACUCAAGCACUUCAAGGCGUGUCAAUUUGGCUAACCAUGUUGGUACAACAUCCACAAAAGAAUUUGCAGAAAAAUCAAGUACUUGUAGGUAUUGACAUGAUGCAAGCCCUGAUGGAAACCGACCGGUAAAUUUGUUACUUGAUAAUGAAAUAAAUUGCAACAUUGGGAGGUUGAAACUUUGAUUGUU